CUUGGGAUUUCAGAGGGUUCAAGUGACCCCCCGUCCUGGGGUUGCAGGCGCGAGUGACCCGCCUGCCUUGGCCUCUCCCCAUCCUGGGGUUGCAGGCAUGAGCCCCUGUGCCUGGCCUUGACCUUCUAGAAUGACGCGGAGACUUUUGAGCCUGUUGGCUCUGCCUGCUCUUUUUCCAGUUCACGUACUCUUAUCUGGAGUUUGGUCCUGUUCGUUCUAAAUCCUGCAAAUUGGACAUUAAAAAAACCAAAAGUAAGAGGAUCUCCCUGUGUUGCCCAGGCUGGUCUCAAACUCCUGGGCUAAAGGGAUCUGCCUGCCGCAGCCUCCCAGCAUGCCGGGAUUACAGGUACAAGCCCCAGUGCCCGGCCAAAUUGGACGUUAUUACUUCCUUUCCAAAAGAGUGGUUUACAUUUUCCUCACCACACACGGUUUGUGCCUCCACCCCGGGUCCCGCGUUCCCUGCUGUCCUGACUGCGUCUUUAACCUUCGUACCGUUGGUCCGGCCUGUUGGCGAUGUGCUGGGGCAGGAGGCCUUGCCCGUGCCCGCCCCCCGACUCUGAUUGUGUCUGUUUUUCCUUGGUGCCACUUUAUUUGGGUCUUUUCUGCCCAGGACAUGGCCCACCUGGACCUAGAGCUCUGUGACAUUUCUGUGAAGCCUCCGUCUACCUUUGGGACUCAGCAGAGGUGUGUUUAGAAUUCACUCUGCGUUUUGGGAGUCCCCAUGCAUGCUGAGGUGCCGUUCCCUGCCCACCCGUGUCCGAUCCGUCUUGGCCUCCCCGACCUCAGGGUGCCUAGGACCCCCCGACCUCUUCGGGUAUUUGGUUUCUGGCUCAGGAAGAGCAGCUGCCGGGUCCUGGAGGAGGGGGCCUGGGAAUCGCUGGCAGGCGUCACUCCUGCGACCUCCGACCCCUCCCCGCAUGGCUCCUGCGAGGGCCACCGCGUGAGUCCUGGGGCUGCUGUCCUCACGCCUCAGACCUGAUUCUGGGGACCGCGGUGAAGGCGUGGCAGGCGGGCAUCACUCCCUUCCCCCACCUCCAUCGCUGCCUCUCUCUGGGUCUGCGUCCUCUUCUCACAGGGACAGCAGUCGUUGACUCUCCCUGAUCCAGGAGGGUCUCUCCAGAUCCUUCCCUAACAGCAGAGACCCGGCUUGUGGGGAGGGACUGGGACUCAAGACUUCUUCACCAGCCUGAGGUUGGUGCUGGGGCUUGGCGGCGGCUGUGAGAAUCCUGUGCUGGAGAAAGCGUCUCUCGGCCGGCCUGUCUGGGGCGUCUGUGCCUCUCCUGGAUGGGUCUCAGUUUGGCCCCGUCCAUCCAUCCCAGGAGCUGCGGUGGAGCAGACAGGGAGGGGUGCCCCAGGACCCACAGCCCCGCCACUCCUGUCUUCCUUUAAGUGAACCGGUCGUGUAGAUGGAGGUUGUUCAGAAAGGGAUGAGAUGGGACGGCCGCUGGGCCUCAUCCUCCCGCAGUGACCGCGAAGCAGAGGCCGCUGCGCUUGUGGCAGGGGCUUAGGCCAGGGCAGAGUCGGGCCUCACGUGCAGGGGGCUGAGUGUGGGCCUCAACACUGGACUUGGCCACUGACUGCAGUGAGCCCCAAGAUGGGGCAGGCGGUGGUGUUUCUGUCCUGGAGACCCAGGGUGGCUUGGGUCCUUGGGAUGUGUGGGGACCUCGGGGUGAGGGCCCGUUGGGGCCGGGUGGGCACGGCGGGAGAGCGGGGGCCACACACCCAGAGGCAGUGCCGUGUCCCGGCCGGGAGGGUUCCUGGGAAGCUCUGCUCAGCCCCAGUCUCAAGUCAUUUCUAGAAACUGUGUUUUCCUCCCUGUGACGUCACACGUGAAGGAAACGGAAAAGGGCAGUGAGUCCUUCGCCCCGCGGCGCCGUGCGCACGUCAGCCUUCAGGGUGAUUCCGCUCCUCCAGAGGGGCAGGCGCGGGUGUGGGGGGUGGGGCCCGGGCCCAUCCUGAGGGGUCCCAGGCAUGAGGGGCUCUGAGCUGUGUCCUGGGGGGGUCUGGGCCGUGGGGAGGUUCUGGAUCAUGUCUUGAGGGGUCUGGGCUGUGGGGGGUCCAGGCCAUGUCCUGGGGGUCUGGGCUGUGUCUGUGGGGAGUCAGGGCCAUCCAUGUAUUGGGGGUCUGGGGCGGGGGGGGUCAGGCUGUCUUGGGGAGUCCGGGCUGUGUGGAGGGGUCCAAGCUAUGCCUUUGGGGAUCAGGCCUGUGGGAGGCUCUGGGUUAUGUCUUGGCGGGGGUCCAGGCCGUGUCUUGGGGGCUGGGCCACGUUCUGGGGACGUGUGAAUCCUGGAGGGUGGGGCCCCGGUCUCGCGGGAGGCUGUGUCCCUCGAGUUCAGGCAGCACCUCUCGGAACUUUCUCGAUCUGCGUGCUGGCGUCUGUCGGCCUCGAUACCCACAGGCUGCGCCCCUCUCAGCACAGGAAGUCCUGGAGAACCUGAAGGACCGCUGGUACCAGGCGGACAGCCCCCCUGCGGACCUGCUGCUGACGGAGGAGGAGUUCCUGUCAUUCCUCCACCCCGAGCACAGCCGGGGAAUGCUCAGGUUCAUGGUGAAGGAGAUCGUCCGGGACCUGGACCAGGACGGUGACAAGCAGCUCUCUCUGCCCGAGUUCAUCUCCCUGCCUGUGGGCACCGUGGAGAACCAGCAGGGCCAGGACAUUGACGACAACUGGGUGAAAGACAGAAAAAAGGAGUUUGAGGAGCUCAUUGACUCCAACCACGACGGCAUCGUGACCGCCGAGGAGCUGGAGAGCUACAUGGACCCCAUGAACGAGUACAACGCGCUGAACGAGGCCAAGCAGAUGAUCGCCGUCGCCGACGAGAACCAGAACCACCACCUGGAGCCCGAGGAGGUGCUCAAGUACAGCGAGUUCUUCACGGGCAGCAAGCUGGUGGACUACGCGCGCAGCGUGCACGAGGAGUUCUGAGCGCCCGGCCGCGCCCCGCGCCGCCCCCCACGCACCACCGGCGCGGCCCCGCGGGUGACUCCGGGCUCCGUGGCUGUCCCUCCGUGGCUGUCCCGGGCCCCACCUCCUCCCUGCCGCCCGCCACCGGCCGACCGCCCGCGGCUGCCCCGGCUGAUGAGCGGCGCGUCCCCUCUGCAGCGCGCACCCCGGCGGGGCUUCGGCUGUGACGCGGCCGGGGCGCGGGGCGGGGCGCGGGGCUGGGCUGUGGCCCCGCGGCGCCGCCUCCUCCCUGGUCCCUCGAAAUCGUUGCAUCUCACUUCUGAGAACGAAAUCUCGCUUCACUCACUCUGCCGAAGGCGCUGACGGCAUCGCGGCCGGAACCUCUGGGCCCGGCCCCUCCCAGGGCCGCCGCUCCGUGGGAAAUAACAGCUCCUCCAUUUCCUUGAAAACUGAACGAUUAUUAAAAAUAGAUUAAACUUCGCUGGAAAUGAGUAGCCAGGAAGUUCAGGGGAGGGUGCCGGGUCCUUCCCGGGCCUGGCGUGUCGGAGCCACCCAGGUCCCGCAGCUGCCGCUGAGAAAAUGCAAAUAUUUGUUGUGACAAGAAUCACAUUAAUUUACUUUAAAUAU
RNAcentral lists this small RNA (3532 nucleotides) under Pan troglodytes (chimpanzee). Its description in RNAcentral is "retained intron". Lineage: Eukaryota; Metazoa; Chordata; Mammalia; Primates; Hominidae. The record is from RNAcentral.